RNAcentral lists this unclassified non-coding RNA (253 nucleotides) under uncultured Periconia. Its description in RNAcentral is "sequence contains ITS2". The record is from RNAcentral. Lineage: Eukaryota; Fungi; Ascomycota; Sordariomycetes; Microascales; Halosphaeriaceae.
AACGCACAUUGCGCCCCUCGGUAUUCCGUGGGGCACGCCUGUUCGAGCGUCAUUUACACCCUCAAGCGCAGCUUGGUGUUGGGCGUCUGUCCCGCUCUCCGUAGCGCGGACUCGCCUCAAAGUCAUUGGCGGCGGUCGUGCCGGCUCCUCGCGCAGCACAUUUGCGCUUCUCGGAGGCCCGGCGGAUCGGCAUCCAGCAAGCUACUUUUUAUGACUUGACCUCGGAUCAGGUGAGGAUACCCGCUGAACUUAA